UAGGGAAUCUUCGGCAAUGGGGGCAACCCUGACCGAGCAACGCCGCGUGAGUGAAGAAGGUUUUCGGAUCGUAAAGCUCUGUUGUAAGAGAAGAUCGUGUGUGAGAGUGGAAAGUUCACACAGUGACGGUAACUUACCAGAAAGGGACGGCUAACUACGUGCCAGCAGCCGCGGUAAUACGUAGGUCCCGAGCGUUGUCCGGAUUUAUUGGGCGUAAAGCGAGCGCAGGCGGUUUAAUAAGUCUGAAGUUAAAGGCAGUGGCUUAACCAUUGUUCGCUUUGGAAACUGUUAAACUUGAGUGCAGAAGGGGAGAGUGGAAUUCCAUGUGUAGCGGUGAAAUGCGUAGAUAUAUGGAGGAACACCGGUGGCGAAAGCGGCUCUCUGGUCUGUAACUGACGCUGAGGCUCGAAAGCGUGGGGAGCAAACAGG
Molecule: ribosomal RNA, 429 nt
Filed under: bacterium
Lineage: Bacteria
Description: partial 16S ribosomal RNA
Rfam family: Bacterial small subunit ribosomal RNA
Source: RNAcentral